Molecule: long non-coding RNA, 205 nt
Filed under: Vigna radiata
Lineage: Eukaryota; Viridiplantae; Streptophyta; Magnoliopsida; Fabales; Fabaceae
Description: long non-coding RNA (VRAD_LNC015303)
Source: RNAcentral
UACGAAACACAGGAUGAAUUUUAGCUGUGUCAGGUAAUUGUAAUCUAUAAGCAACAACUCUUAUCUUUAACACCACCUCAAACGCCCCAAAAAAUUUGAGUCCCAGUUUUUUAUUUUUUUUGUAAGGCCAAUGAUUGUCACCUAUCUGGUUGCAACUUGACCAAUGCAAGAUCACCCACCUCCAAUUGAAUGUCUCUCCUUCUUU